This 496-nucleotide unclassified non-coding RNA is filed under the name Anelosimus studiosus. Its description in RNAcentral is "partial contains 16S ribosomal RNA and tRNA-Leu (trnL)". The stretch from base 100 to 400 matches the Rfam family "Bacterial large subunit ribosomal RNA", at positions 2074 to 2646 of the family's 2925-position model. The record is from RNAcentral. Lineage: Eukaryota; Metazoa; Arthropoda; Arachnida; Araneae; Theridiidae.
UUUUUAAUUAAAAACUAGAAUGAAAGGUUAUACACUCAAAUUUCUUUAUUAAUUUUUAAUAAAUAAUUUAUAUUAAAUAUAAAAAUAUAUUUAUGAAAAAAAAAGACGACAAGACCCUAUUAAAUUUUACUUAUAGUUUAGCUGGGGAAGCUUUUCAAUUAAAAUUUUUUAAAAUCUUAAAAUAAAUAUCUAAUUUAAAUUAAAAUUUAAAUAAAUUACUAUAGGGAUAACAGCAUUAUAUUUUUUAAAAGUUCAUAUUAAAAAAAAUGAUUGUGACCUCGAUGUUGAAUUAUAUUUUCUAUAUUUAAUGCAAUAAUUAUAAAAGUAGAUCUGUUCGAUCUUUAAAAUAUUACAUGAUUUGAGUUCAAACCGGUGUAAACCAGGUUGGUUUCUAUCUUUUUAUAUAUUUUUCCAGUACGAAAGGACAAAAAAAUUUUUAUUUUAAUAAAUUAGCAAAUAUAAUGCAUUAGAUUUAGAAUCUAAAUAUAUUUAAAUU